RNAcentral lists this long non-coding RNA (2250 nucleotides) under Nicotiana tabacum (common tobacco). RNAcentral describes it as "long non-coding RNA (NTAB_LNC016589)". The record is from RNAcentral. Lineage: Eukaryota; Viridiplantae; Streptophyta; Magnoliopsida; Solanales; Solanaceae.
UCAUUUAAUAUAAACACUGACACACACAGAGAAAAAAGGGGGUCCCCUCCUCUCCAAAAAUAAAACCUUCAGCAACCCAUCCCUCUCUUUCGCCGGCCUCCCCCAGAAAUUCACCCAUUUCUUUUCUCUGAAAAUUGAAGAAAAACACACGGUCAGAGGAAAUAAAGAGAAGCAGUCGACCAAUUAUUAUUUUUUUCAAUUUUUUUCUUUUGUUCGGCGAGUUAAGCUUAACUAAGAUCACUGCCUUGCCGGCGCUUCGCCGGAGUUUCAUCAUCUCCGGCCAACUCAGUCGAUUAGAAUCCGUUCGAGGUUGUUGAUUCCGGUUCCGGGUCCAUAGCGCAAGUGCGGUAUGUUGGUCGCAGGUGCGGAAGCUUGAGGUUUAAUGAAUUUUUGUAGGUGCGGUCCUUUAUCUGUAGAAGCGGUACCGUAGGUGCGGUCCCUUGACCGCAGAAGCAGAUUUGAUGGGCAGAAAAUAAGAAUUUCGAGGGUUUGAAAUCAAAAGUUAGAAAAUUGAUUUGGAGCUCGGGAGAGGGCGAUUUUGGGAGGAUUUUGAAGAGGAAAUCAGUGGGUAAUGAUUCCUAAUCCCUUCUAGUUGUAUUCCUAUAAUCUAAUCUUAGUUUUGUCAUUUAAUUUCGGAAUUGGGAUGAAAAUUGGGGGAAAAUUGGAGAAAGUUCUUAGACCUAAAUUUCGAGUUUUGAUUGGGGAUUUUACAUUGGAUUUGGAUAACUUUGGUAUGGUUAGACUCGUGAGAGUGAGAAUUCUGAAAAUAUAAAUUUCACCCGAUUCCGAGACGUGGCCUCGGAGGGCAUUUUUGUCAUUUUUCCUAAUUUCGCGUAUUAACUUAGAAUUUUUUUGUAGAAUCAGUUAUUUGAAGUGUUAUUUACAUUAUGCAAUUGAAUUGAAUAGAUUUGGGUCAUUUGGAGUCGAGUACUCGUGGCAAGAACGUGGUUUCGGGUUGAUUUUGAGCCGAUUCGAGGUAAGUGGCUUGCCUAACUUUGUGUAGGGGAAUUCUCCCUUAGGAUUUGAUAUUGAUGAUAUUUGAGAUGCCUUAUAUGUGAGGUGACGAGUGCGUACUUGUGCUAAUUAUUGAAAAAUUCUAUUUUCAUUAAUUAACUAUAAUUGUGCUUCUAUUCCUGCCUAUACUACUUGCAAUUUAAGCUUACUGUUAGCUUAGGGAAGCAUGCCUAAUUGGCUUAAUUGCCUUAUUUGCUCAAACUGCGUUAUUUGGAUUCCGUGCAGCAUGCUAGGUUAGAAAUACUUGUUUUACCUUGGUAUGGAAUUUGAAUUGAAUUGAGUAUUCUUUGUGUUGCUGCUGUGUGUUUACUUUGGGACUACGGGACAUUAUCGUGGGAGAUCCCCCUGCAUGUUUACUUUGGGACUAUGGAUUGGUAUUCCGGGAGAUCCCCCUACACUUUUAUAUUGGAACUACGGGACUACACCCGGUAGAUUCCCCCAGCACUGAGUUGGACUACGGGACGGUAUCCCAGGAGAUCCACUGGAUAUUUAUAUUUGGGACUACAGGACGGUAUCUUGGGAGAUCCCCGGUUGUUAUUUAUGUGUUGAGUUGUAUCCCUUUCUGUGAUUAAUUUGUCUUUGUUGUAGUUAUUGGUGUUCUUUCCAUCUUGUGUUACUUCUUAUUAUUGCACUUAAUUAUACUAUCUUAUUCCACACUAUUAUACUUUGCAUUUCAUUUAACCUCAGUAGGGCCCUGACCUUCCUCGUCACUACCGAUCGAGGUUAGGCUUGGCACUUACUGAGUAUCGCUAUGGUGUACUCAUGCCCUUUCUACGUAUGUUUUUCAUGUGCAGAUCCAGGUACUUCGACUCAGUCCUACCACCCUUGAGGCGAGACAAUUUUCCCAGAGACUUCGAGGUAUAUCUGCCGCGUCCGCAGACCGAGGAGUCCCUUUCUAUUCUCUCUUUAAGUAUUAGCCCUUCUGUAUUUUUCUUUUGUUAGACAAUCUGGAGUUAGAUACUUGUAGACAUUCAAAACCUUGUGAUUUCAUGAGAUUCCGGGUUUUAGGAAAUGUUGUUUCAGUUUCGAGAGUUUGUAUUGUAUAUGCCGAGCGACAUCUUAAACGCUUCGUUAUGUUAUUUCUGUAGUUUAUGGUUAGUUUUAUUCUGUUAUUUCUGUAUUCCGCAAUUUGUUAGGCUUACUUGGUCGUAGUGACUAUGUGCCGUCACGAUAGUUCACGGAGGGCAAACUGGGGCCGUGAUAAUUAUUCCAUAGUUAAUACAACCACUUAAUUCU